This 457-nucleotide long non-coding RNA is filed under the name Haliotis rufescens (red abalone). RNAcentral's name for it is "uncharacterized LOC125382044". Lineage: Eukaryota; Metazoa; Mollusca; Gastropoda; Lepetellida; Haliotidae. The record is from RNAcentral.
GCGCUACUUCCGGUGCCAGCAUUUCCGGUGACAUGCCUAUACUCGUGAACUAGUUCUGCUUUCGAAAUGCGCGACCGCAAAAGCUAACUCUGUAGACGGUACCAAGUAAACUACCACGCUUGGUUGUCACCGCUGUUGACAGUCGUAAAAGUUUACUUAUUUCAGAAUAAUAUGAUCGGUUAUUUGUCAUUCCUGUUAGGUUUAUCGGUUCCUGACUGACAUCUGACAACCAUGGGACCGUUCGUAAAGGAGUGAAUUUCUGCUGUACAGCAACCAAAAGAUGAAGCAGCAUCCAGCACACAGCAACUUCAAGUCAGAAGUGGCCAAAAUGCAAGACAAAUACACUGAAUUAUGGAGGCGAUCACCAAUGACAUGUCCUACAUUAAGAAAGAUACUUACUAAUAUAUGAAGUGUAAUGUUAUUCUGAGGGAAGAAAUAAAAGUGUUACACCUUGUCA